CCACAACAUAAUAUCUGCUAUUUGGCAAUUAUUUAUUUAUUUUUUUUGUAGCAAUCAUUGGAUGAAUCAUACUCUAAGAAAAGCUCUAAGGAAAUGGUAGAAAGGACAAAUCAUGUUGGAUUGGAGACUCACACCUGCCUCCCCUUCCCAGGACGCACCUUGGGCAGCUACUCUGUCCUGUGCCAGAACUGUGUUCAAAGCAGAGGCUGUCUCACAUGAGGAGGACACGCUCUUCACCUCUGAAACUGACUAACUGGGGAGCCAGGCACUGAGGAAAUGAUUAUAAUUCCACAAGCUCUGAUUGGAAAUAAGUCAGUAAUAACAAUGUUGCUGCAAUCUCCACCAUGAAGAUCCAUGUGCCUGGCAUUUAACAGCAGAAAAGGUAAGCCUAGUCCCUUCUAUUAUAUAUGGUUCUUGCAUAAUUCCCAGUGUGAGUUUUAAAUAAUUUAAAAAUGUAAUAUGAUAUUUGCAAUUUAGUGAAACAUAUCUGACAACUGGGCAUUUUAGAAUUUAUUGUUGCGUUAUUUUAUACCCUUCCUAAAACCCUAAUUCUAUUUCUAUCACAGAAUGGAUGUCUUCUUUCCUAUUAAAAGACACUGAAAAAUAAUGGCAAAUGAGCUGUGGUCACUUUGAGCAGCUGCUCAGGACCUCAGUCAAGUAUGGGUCUUGAUUGCAAAGAGAGUUCUACAGACCCCAGUGAAUGGGAGAGGAAACACAGGUCCAUCUUAUGUACAGAGGUACCACAUGGGUACAACUUGACUACACUGAGCACAGUUUCCUAGGCUGUGUUCUGAUCCUGCUCUUAGCUGCCACUCGAUCCAGCCGGAGUUGACUAAGAUACAUUCCCAGUUUGUAAUACUCAGCCCAGUGGAAAGAAGGGUAAUACUGAAUAUAAAAUGGAUUACAAGAGCAGAACUGGAGCCCACCUCCCCACUCCUCAGAGAGAAAGUAAGGACUAUUGUUGCCACACAUUUCCCAAAUUUGGUAUGGACAAAAACUACAUGCAUGAAGAGGUGCUGAUUGGCAAGGAAGACUCGGCUUCUAACUCAUUAGGUAUCUGAACAGCCAGUCCAUCUGCGUCUAGAGGUAUCUUGCUGUGUUCAAAGCUAAAAGUAAGCUCCCCUUUUAACAAGUCAGUGUUUCUACUCUUUUUCUUUCAGAUGAAUUCUCUUAAUAUUACUCAAGUAGCCAAGCAGUGAGCAAGAGAGCUCUGAGCGUCAGCUCCCCCCACCUGACACGUUGCAUCAUAUUAAUGCUGAAUUUCAGACAUGAAUUAUUUUAAUGGCCCAUUUUAUAAGCCAUUUAUUGUCUGAAUUCUUACAAGAAUUAGCAAGUUUUAUUCUUUCACCACUUAAUAAAAUUCUUUCCAGCUUUUCCAGCUCAGAAGGGGACAGUGGAAAGCUGGUCAGGGCACAUUUGUCCUGUGGGGCAGCAGAUUUCUUUACACCAGGGUGCAGGCAGGUCUUCUGGUGGUAAGAAAUGGACUGUAUGUCAGGAAGCACAGAGUGCAAGGGAAAAUUUAGUUCAGAGUUGUUUUUCUAACCUGGGAAAGUGCAUAAUCUUGCAAAAUACUAUGAAGAGUACUUGAUUGUCAUGUGAAAUAGUUUAGCCCUAAUAAAAAUCCCCAGAAUAACAAAUAGGAAGGUAUUUGUAAACGGCAUGAAAUAUCAGAGACCAAAGCAGUGUUUUGCUGUGAUGGAAUGUCUUAGUACAUUAUUUAUGCAUUUUUGUUUUUAUUCAAAGCUCUGUAGACACAUAUCUGCUUAAAUACAUUAACUUUCCCAUUCUACUGUCUCAUUGGGCAGAAAUAGAUUCAAAUCACUAUGCGUAGUGUAUUAAUCAGAAUCUAUACAGAAAAUAUAAACAACUCUAAAUACUUCAAAUAGAGAAAAUUUAAUACAUGAAAUGGGUUAUGCAGAUAAUAAAAGAUCUGAAAUGCUAAUCAGGGAAGGAGGAGGCAACCCAAAGAUAUGCAACAGCAAGAAGCCACUACACCUAGGAGGUGAUAUUUCCAGGAACUGGUACACUCAGGCUGGAACAAGUUCCACAGUGGACACAGGAGUCUGCCCAGCCAAAGCUGGGGACAUAGAAGGAGGAGAUGACUAGUGGGAAUGCAGUCAGAGGAGACACAGUUUCUACUGAAAAUGCCUCCCCAAGACAGAGGGAGAAAUACAUUGACUUCUCUUUUUUCAUCUUCCAAUUUUCUGUUAGAACCCCACAAUUGUCAAAACUACGUGGAAACUAGUUGUCAAGGGAACCCCUAAAAUAGUGUUUUCUUUGAUUGCUAGCAGAGUAGAGGAAGGGAGGGACAUGGAUUUAAGGACAAGCAGCAGAUGGCCACCCAGCACACACAUGCUGACCUACAGCAUCCCAUCCAUGGCAAAUACCAAGCGUGUUACUGUUGUGCUAUCAGUUUUGAAAUUCAGUUCACUUUUUCUUUCCUUUAGUUUAAAUUUCUGAGUGACUUUUAUUGACUCAUCCCUUGCAUCCCUCAUCCCUUGUAACACACAGAUGCUGGAGUUUGCUGUGGUAGAAAAACAGAGAUCAGGAGGACGUGCAAAGGGAGAAAACUGGCGGGGAAGGCAUUGUAUGCUUUACGUGGAUAUGGCUACAUCUAAAAAAGAACUGGAAGGAAUACUGUGUUUUUUCAAGUUGUAUUUCUUUGGACAGACCCUAUAUUUAAAAAAAGAAAGUAUCCAUAACUACUGAGCUUUCUCUGGGUCUGUCAUUCCUUUUUAGGAUGGCUUUAGGGUCACACAGAGAACAAAGGACAUGGGCUCUAGCUUGAGGUCUGCUCUGGCCAGAAGCAGAGAGGCUGUGGAUGAAGAAAGGAAAGGAGGCAAAGUGCGUUCCACGUGUCCAUCAUCCCUGCUCCUACCCCACCUCCUCUGGGUCUACGCCAGGUUUCCCAGGGCAUUAUCUCCUCUGGUGCCCUCCUCACAUUCCUCGCCCAGGUGGGUCCU
Microcebus murinus (gray mouse lemur) is the source of this 2963-nucleotide non-coding RNA. The record is from RefSeq and is a predicted model, not a curated record. Lineage: Eukaryota; Metazoa; Chordata; Mammalia; Primates; Cheirogaleidae.